UACACUCCUACGGGAGGCAGCAGUGGGGAAUUUUGGACAAUGGGGGCAACCCUGAUCCAGCAAUGCCGCGUGAGUGAAGAAGGCCUUCGGGUUGUAAAGCUCUUUUGUCAGGGAAGAAACGGUGGUGGCGAAUAACUACUACUAAUGACGGUACCUGAAGAAUAAGCACCGGCUAACUACGUGCCAGCAGCCGCGGUAAUACGUAGGGUGCAAGCGUUAAUCGGAAUUACUGGGCGUAAAGCGUGCGCAGGCGGUUGUGUAAGUCAGAUGUGAAAUCCCCGGGCUCAACCUGGGAAUUGCAUUUGAGACUGCACGGCUAGAGUGUGUCAGAGGGGGGUAGAAUUCCACGUGUAGCAGUGAAAUGCGUAGAUAUGUGGAGGAAUACCGAUGGCGAAGGCAGCCCCCUGGGAUAACACUGACGCUCAUGCACGAAAGCGUGGGGAGCAAACAGGAUUAGAUACCCGGGUAGUCCCAUGA
This 477-nucleotide ribosomal RNA is filed under the name uncultured organism. RNAcentral's name for it is "partial 16S ribosomal RNA". It matches the Rfam family "Bacterial small subunit ribosomal RNA", at positions 332 to 800 of the family's 1533-position model. The record is from RNAcentral.